RNAcentral lists this ribosomal RNA (289 nucleotides) under uncultured Sphingomonas sp. RNAcentral describes it as "partial 16S ribosomal RNA". The record is from RNAcentral. Lineage: Bacteria; Pseudomonadati; Pseudomonadota; Alphaproteobacteria; Sphingomonadales; Sphingomonadaceae.
CUACUGGGGUUUCUAAUCCUGUUUGCUCCCCACGCUUUCGCACCUCAGCGUCAAUCCCGGUCCAGUAAGCCGCCUUCGCCACUGGUGUUCUUCCGAAUAUCUACGAAUUUCACCUCUACACUCGGAAUUCCACUUACCUCUCCCGGAUUCAAGCGAUGCAGUCUCAAAGGCAGUUCUGGAGUUGAGCUCCAGGCUUUCACCCCUGACUUACAAAGCCGCCUACGUGCGCUUUACGCCCAGUAAUUCCGAACAACGCUAGCCCCCUCCGUAUUACCGCGGCUGCUGGCAC